This is a long non-coding RNA of Drosophila innubila, 421 nucleotides long. RefSeq lists it as uncharacterized. The transcript is spliced from 2 exons. Lineage: Eukaryota; Metazoa; Arthropoda; Insecta; Diptera; Drosophilidae. The record is from RefSeq and is a predicted model, not a curated record.
CAAACAAUGCUUUUUAUGGCCACAAUCAAAUGAGCUGAGACUUUCAUGAGCUGCGAAUGUGUGUGUUUGCAAGCGCUGAGCAAUUAUGCAAAUUAUAGUUAGGAUGCUUAAUUGGAAAGGCAGCUCCUCGCUGCAGGAUGCGGACACGACAAAAACCAAAAACAAAACAAAACAAGGCAAUGAAAAACUCUGAAAAUUUGUAAAAACGAACUGAGACUUGUCUAGAUUAUGUCAGAGCUCGGUCAGACGUUGAGCAAACAAUGCGAGGAAAACGUUGACAAAACAAACCAUAAAAAAACUAAAUAAAUGGAAAAUGAAUGAAGGACGAAGAAUGAAGGAGCAGCAGCAAAAACGAGUUGAGGAAUUGAAAAAUAAAAGUAACAUAUUAUAGCCAGACAGUCAUAAAGUUGAAUGAAUGAAA